This 520-nucleotide ribosomal RNA is filed under the name Streptococcus sinensis. RNAcentral describes it as "bacterial SSU rRNA". It matches the Rfam family "Bacterial small subunit ribosomal RNA", at positions 376 to 889 of the family's 1533-position model. Lineage: Bacteria; Bacillati; Bacillota; Bacilli; Lactobacillales; Streptococcaceae. The record is from RNAcentral.
GGGAGCCCUGACCGAGCAACGCCGCGUGAGUGAAGAAGGUGUUCGGAUCGUAAAGCUCUGUUGUAAGAGAAGAACGAGUGUGAGAGUGGAAAGUUCACACUGUGACGGUAACUUACCAGAAAGGGACGGCUAACUACGUGCCAGCAGCCGCGGUAAUACGUAGGUCCCGAGCGUUGUCCGGAUUUAUUGGGCGUAAAGCGAGCGCAGGCGGUUAGAUAAGUCUGAAGUUAAAGGCUGUGGCUUAACCAUAGUACGCUUUGGAAACUGUUUAACUUGAGUGCAGAAGGGGAGAGUGGAAUUCCAUGUGUAGCGGUGAAAUGCGUAGAUAUAUGGAGGAACACCGGUGGCGAAAGCGGCUCUCUGGUCUGUAACUGACGCUGAGGCUCGAAAGCGUGGGGAGCAAACAGGAUUAGAUACCCUGGUAGUCCACGCCGUAAACGAUGAGUGCUAGGUGUGGGUCCUUCCGGGACUCAGUGCCGCAGCUAACGCAUUAAGCACUCCGCCUGGGGAGUACGAACGC